Molecule: ribosomal RNA, 452 nt
Filed under: uncultured bacterium
Lineage: Bacteria
Description: bacterial SSU rRNA
Rfam family: Bacterial small subunit ribosomal RNA
Source: RNAcentral
AACGAACGCUGGCGGCAGGCCUAACACAUGCAAGUCGAGCGAGGACUUCGGUCCUAGCGGCGGACGGGUGAGUAACGCGUGGGAACGUGCCCUUUGCUACGGAAUAGCCCUGGGAAACUGGGAGUAAUACCGUAUGUGCCCUUCGGGGGGAAGAUUUAUCGGCAAAGGAUCGGCCCGCGUUGGAUUAGGUAGUUGGUGGGGUAAUGGCCUACCAAGCCGACGAUCCAUAGCUGGUUUGAGAGGAUGAUCAGCCACACUGGGACUGAGACACGGCCCAGACUCCUACGGGAGGCAGCAGUGGGGAAUCUUAGACAAUGGGGGAAACCCUGAUCUAGCCAUGCCGCGUGAGCGAUGAGGGCCUUAGGGUUGUAAAGCUCUUUCAGUGGGGAAGAUAAUGACGGUACCCACAGAAGAAGCCCCGGCUAACUCCGUGCCAGCCGCCGCCGUAACAC